AGUGAACGCUGGCGGUAGGCCUAACACAUGCAAGUCGAACGGCAGCACAGUAAGAGCUUGCUCUUACGGGUGGCGAGUGGCGGACGGGUGAGGAAUACAUCGGAAUCUACUUUUUCGUGGGGGAUAACGUAGGGAAACUUACGCUAAUACCGCAUACGACCUACGGGUGAAAGCAGGGGAUCUUCGGACCUUGCGCGAUUGAAUGAGCCGAUGUCGGAUUAGCUAGUUGGCGGGGUAAAGGCCCACCAAGGCGACGAUCCGUAGCUGGUCUGAGAGGAUGAUCAGCCACACGGGAACUGAGACACGGUCCAAGCUCCUACGGGAGGCAGCAGUGGGGAAUAUUAGACAAUGGGCGCAAGCCUGAUCCUGUCAUACCGCGUGGGUGAAGAAGGCCUUCGGGUUGUAAAGCCCUUUUGUUGGGAAAGAAAAGCAGCAGGUUAAUACCCCGCUGUUCUGACAGUACCCAAAGAAUAAGCACCGGCUAACUUCGUG
Molecule: ribosomal RNA, 492 nt
Filed under: uncultured bacterium
Lineage: Bacteria
Description: partial 16S ribosomal RNA
Rfam family: Bacterial small subunit ribosomal RNA
Source: RNAcentral